ACCAGUAUGCAAGACGUCAUUAAGUGAC
This 28-nucleotide non-coding RNA is filed under the name Bombyx mori (domestic silkworm). The record is from RNAcentral. Lineage: Eukaryota; Metazoa; Arthropoda; Insecta; Lepidoptera; Bombycidae.